RNAcentral lists this ribosomal RNA (158 nucleotides) under Salmonella enterica subsp. enterica serovar Anatum. RNAcentral describes it as "partial 16S ribosomal RNA". It matches the Rfam family "Bacterial small subunit ribosomal RNA", at positions 53 to 224 of the family's 1533-position model. The record is from RNAcentral. Lineage: Bacteria; Pseudomonadati; Pseudomonadota; Gammaproteobacteria; Enterobacterales; Enterobacteriaceae.
ACAUGCGGUUGAACGGACGCGCGAGCUGUUCAGUGGCGGACGGGUGAGUAAUGUCUGGGAAACUGCCUGAUGGAGGGGGAUAACUACUGGAAACGGUGGCUAAUACCGCAUAACGUCGCAAGACCAAAGAGGGGGACCUUCGGGCCUCUUGCCAUCAG